Molecule: long non-coding RNA, 2156 nt
Organism: Anneissia japonica
Lineage: Eukaryota; Metazoa; Echinodermata; Crinoidea; Comatulida; Comatulidae
Exons: 9
Source: RefSeq, a predicted model, not a curated record
AGAAUAACACUCGUGCGCAUGCGUUGGACGAAUGAAGCACAUGGAGCCUGAAAUCGAAGUACAUUUUUUAAUAACUUAAUCGUAGUUUUAAUUAUUAAGUGUGCAGAAUAUUUGCUAGUACGUGAUUUUUUCUGGCUUUUGCUAGUUGACUCAUUUGCAUAAUUCACCAGACCAUGGUCUCAUUACAAUGAUGUAAUGAUAAUGAAUAUUCAUUGUCAGACACUACAAAAAUCAGGACCAAUUUUAUUAUUAAUGCUGUUUGCUAGUUGAAUCAUUUGCAUUAUUCACCAGACCGUGGUCUCAUCACAAUGAUGUAAUGAUAAUGAAUAUUCAUUGUCAGACACUACAAAAAUCAUGAAACUGCUGAAGUGACACCAUAGCAAUGCAACUUCUAGAUAGCAUAUAUAUCUUUCACUCAAGCUAUGUGUGGCAGGCCGCACAGCAGCAGCUUUAGCAUGCGGCAACCCACUACUACUCACUAGGGGCUUUUGCUAGUUGACUCAUUUGCAUAAUUCACCAGACCAUGGUCUCAUCACAAUGAUGUAAUGAUAAUGAAUAUUCAUUGUCAGACACUACAAAAAUCAGGAUCAUUUUUAUUAUUAAUGCUUUUGCUAGUUGACUCAUUUGCACAAUUCACCAGACCAUGGUCUCAUCACAAUGAUGUAAUGAUAAUGAAUAUUCAUUGUCAGACACUACGAAAAUCAGGACCAUUUUUAUUAUUAAUGCUGUUUGCUAGUUGACUCAUUUUCAGUGAGGCUAUGUGUGGCAGGCCGCACAGCAGCGACUGUAGUACAUGGUAACCAACUACUGCCUCUUUAGACUGACAAGGUCCAGAAUCGAAUGAACAUUUUAAAGAUAGUGGACAAAAAACGAAAACCGAGGAUAGUGGUUACGUAAUACAUCCUGCACCAUACUGGCUGUGUGGACAUGUUCAUAAGCGCCCCUACCGUUCUUGUCCUGAAGUAAAAUGUAUGAUUUCAUUGCUAGAUGUGGCUUCAAGAUGAUUUAAGAUUCAUGAUAAUGAUUGCGAUAUGAAGAGAAGAGUUGACUAAGAGAUACAAGAAACUAAUGUCUUAAACAAAAUUCAACCACAAAGAAAAAUAUAUUUUGUAUUUUAUGAUUAAAAAUGAAGUCAUCGCUCUGUUAACUCCACCUAGCGAGAACUGUGAACCAAUCUGCAAGAAGCCGAGAUGCUUUUUCUGAUUUAUUUUAAGUGAAGACAAUAUCUUUAAUAAUUCAAAUACAUAACUGAUUGAUAAUUUAGAUAGGCCUAUGGUAUUGUAUUGUAUUGAUAAAUUAGUGCUGUAUAUGAUAAAUUAGAUAGGCCUAUGGUAUUGUAUUGUAUUGAUAAAUUAGAUAGGCCUAUGGUAUAUGUAUUAAUAAAUUUAUGCUGUAUGCCGGCAAACAAAGAAGGGUACAGAGGCAAGAAGACUGGAGGUAAGUGGGUUGGUUAUUUACUCAAAGAUCUUAUAACAAGACAGCGCACUUGCCGUUUGUAAGCGUAAUGUAUUAGACUUUCAUGGGACUGCACAAUAUGUAAAGCUCAAUAGGUUUUUGACUAUUUGUACGCAUAAUGAAUUUGAAAACUCCAUGUGACUACACGCUCGUAACAACUAAAACCUAAUUAAAGUGACCUGCGAGUUUGUUAUAAGAUCUUUGAUCCUCCAAGUAAGAUGAGGGUGCCUUCAUCUUAACUAGAGGGCGGUAUCUAUUACAUUAAAUAGUGCUUCUAAAUAAAAUGGGGGCGCUAUUUAAUGCAAGAGAUGCUGCCCUCUAGUUAAGGUGAGGCCCUUCAUUUUAACUAGAGGGCAGUAUCUAUUGUAUUAAAUAGCACCCCUAAAUAAAAUGAGGGCGCUAUUUAAUGCAUGAGAUACUGCCCUCUAGUUAAGGUGAAGGGCCCUCAUUUUAACUAGAGGGCAGUAUUUAUUGCAUUAAAUAGCACCCCUAAAUAAAAUGAGGGUGCUAUUUAAUGCAUGAGAUACUGCCCUCUAUGGAAAAUGAGGGCGCCCUCAUUUUAACUAGGGGGCAGUAUCGCAUUAAGUAGCGCCUCUAAAUAAAGUGAGGGCGCUAUUUAAUGCAACCUAGUUUUGUUUAGAGGUGGUAUUCGGGUUGGUGAUGAAAACAAUGAUGCAAGGAACAAAUAAAGACAAGAAUUU